This 467-nucleotide ribosomal RNA is filed under the name uncultured archaeon. RNAcentral describes it as "bacterial SSU rRNA". It matches the Rfam family "Archaeal small subunit ribosomal RNA", at positions 1 to 473 of the family's 1478-position model. The record is from RNAcentral.
UUCUGGUUGAUCCCGCCGGAGGUCACUGCUAUUGGGAUUCGACUAAGCCAUGCGAGUUGAGAGGGUUCGGCCCUCAGCUGACGGCUCAGUAACACGUGGAUAAUCUACCCUUAGGUGGAGGAUAAUCUCGGGAAACUGAGAAUAAUACUCCAUAGGUCUAAGAGGCUGGAAUGCACCUAGACUGAAAACUCAGGUGCCUAAGGAUGAGUCUGCGGACUAUCAGGUUGUAGUCAGGGUAAUGUCCUGACUAGCCCACGACGGAUACGGGUUGUGAGAGCAAUAACCCGGAGAUGAUAUCUGAGACACGAUAUCAGGCCCUACGGGGCGCAGCAGGCGCGAAAACUUCACAAUGCGCGAAAGCGCGAUGAGGGAAUCCCAAGUGCUUGCACGUAAGUGUAAGCUGUUUUUAUGUUUAAAAUGCAUUGAGAGUAAGAGCUGGGUAAGACGGGUGCCAGCCGCCGCGGUAA